Molecule: ribosomal RNA, 476 nt
Filed under: uncultured bacterium
Lineage: Bacteria
Description: bacterial SSU rRNA
Rfam family: Bacterial small subunit ribosomal RNA
Source: RNAcentral
CAGGACGAACGCUGGCGGCGUGCUUAACACAUGCAAGUCGAACGGACGAUCACCCUUCGGGGUGUGAGUUAGUGGCGGACGGGUGAGUAACGCGUGAGUAAUCUGCCUUGGAGUGGGGAAUAACACAGGGAAACUUGUGCUAAUACCGCAUAACGUCAUCGGGUGGCAUCAUCUGGUGACCAAAGAUUUAUUGCUCCAAGAUGAGCUCGCGUCCGAUUAGAUAGUUGGCGGGGUAACGGCCCACCAAGUCGACGAUCGGUAGCCGGACUGAGAGGUUGGCCGGCCACAUUGGGACUGAGACACGGCCCAGACUCCUACGGGAGGCAGCAGUGGGGAAUAUUAGGCAAUGGGGGAGACCCUGACCUAGCGACGCCGCGUGAAGGAUGAAGGUUUUCGGAUUGUAAACUUCUUUGGCAGGGGACGAUAAUGACGGUACCCUGAGAACAAGCCACGGCUAACUACGUGCCAGCCGCUGC